RNAcentral lists this ribosomal RNA (497 nucleotides) under uncultured bacterium. RNAcentral's name for it is "partial 16S ribosomal RNA". It matches the Rfam family "Bacterial small subunit ribosomal RNA", at positions 28 to 507 of the family's 1533-position model. The record is from RNAcentral.
GAUGAACGCUGGCGGCGUGCCUAAUACAUGCAAGUCGAGCGAACAGACGAGGAGCUAGCUCCUCUGACGUUAGCGGCGGACGGGUGAGUAACACGUGGAUAACCUACCUAUAAGACUGGGAUAACUUCGGGAAACCGGAGCUAAUACCGGAUAAUAUAUUGAACCGCAUGGUUCAAUAGUGAAAGACGGUUUUGCUGUCACUUAUAGAUGGAUCCGCGCCGCAUUAGCUAGUUGGUAAGGUAACGGCUUACCAAGGCAACGAUGCGUAGCCGACCUGAGAGGGUGAUCGGCCACACUGGAACUGAGACACGGUCCAGACUCCUACGGGAGGCAGCAGUAGGGAAUCUUCCGCAAUGGGCGAAAGCCUGACGGAGCAACGCCGCGUGAGUGAUGAAGGUCUUCGGAUCGUAAAACUCUGUUAUUAGGGAAGAACAAAAGUGUAAGUAACUAUGCACGUCUUGACGGUACCUAAUCAGAAAGCCACGGCUAACUACGUG